UUGGAUGCUGUUUCAGUUGUGUACUGGACUUCGCCUGUGUUGCCUCCAUAAUAAUAUUAUUUCGAAUAUGGCUCACAAUGAGCACUACACUUUCCUUCUGUAUUAAUGUGAAUUAUUGUUAAUAACAAGCUCUAAUUAAACUAUAUAU
This is a long non-coding RNA of Octopus sinensis (East Asian common octopus), 148 nucleotides long. RefSeq lists it as uncharacterized. The record is from RefSeq and is a predicted model, not a curated record. NCBI's taxonomy places the organism in Eukaryota, Metazoa, Mollusca, Cephalopoda, Octopoda, Octopodidae. The transcript has 3 exons.